Rhodocollybia butyracea is the source of this 97-nucleotide non-coding RNA. The record is from the annotation of a GenBank genome assembly. NCBI's taxonomy places the organism in Eukaryota, Fungi, Basidiomycota, Agaricomycetes, Agaricales, Omphalotaceae.
UGCCCCAUCGGCUGAGUUGGUUACAGCGUCCGACUGUUAUGCCGUUAUAUGCUCCUAGCACAGCGGAAGGUUGAGAGUUCGAGCCUCUAUGGGGCAG